Molecule: ribosomal RNA, 684 nt
Filed under: uncultured bacterium
Lineage: Bacteria
Description: bacterial SSU rRNA
Rfam family: Bacterial small subunit ribosomal RNA
Source: RNAcentral
ANUCGAUUAGAGUUUGAUCAUGGCUCANNNUGAACGCUGGCGGCAUGCCUUACACAUGCAAGUCGAACGGUAACGCGGGGCAACCUGGCGACGAGUGGCGAACGGGUGAGUAAUGCAUCGGAACGUGCCCAGUAGUGGGGGAUAGCCCGGCGAAAGCCGGAUUAAUACCGCAUACAACCUACGGGUAAAAGCGGGGGACUCGCAAGAGCCUCGCGCUAUUGGAGCGGCCGAUGUCAGAUUAGCUAGUUGGUGGGGUAAAAGCCUACCAAGGCGACGAUCUGUAGCUGGUCUGAGAGGACGACCAGCCACACUGGGACUGAGACACGGCCCAGACUCCUACGGGAGGCAGCAGUGGGGAAUUUUGGACAAUGGGCGCAAGCCUGAUCCAGCCAUGCCGCGUGCGGGAAGAAGGCCUUCGGGUUGUAAACCGCUUUUGUCAGGGAAGAAACGCUCUGGGCUAAUACCCCGGGGUAAUGACGGUACCUGAAGAAUAAGCACCGGCUAACUACGUGCCAGCAGCCGCGGUAAUACGUAGGGUGCAAGCGUUAAUCGGAAUUACUGGGCGUAAAGCGUGCGCAGGCGGUUGUGCAAGACAGAUGUGAAAUCCCCGGGCUCAACCUGGGAACUGCAUUUGUGGCUGCAUAGCUAGAGUACGGUAGAGGGGGAUGGAAUUCCGCGUGUAGC